RNAcentral lists this ribosomal RNA (253 nucleotides) under uncultured bacterium. RNAcentral's name for it is "partial 16S ribosomal RNA". It matches the Rfam family "Bacterial small subunit ribosomal RNA", at positions 524 to 776 of the family's 1533-position model. The record is from RNAcentral.
UACGGGGGGGGCAAGCGUUGUUCGGAAUUACUGGGCGGAAAGGGCUCGUAGGCGGCCAACUAAGUCGGACGUGAAAUCCCCAGGCUCAACCUGGGAACUGCGUCCGAUACUGGAUGGCUUGAAUCCGGGAGAGGUGAGUGGAAUGCCGAGUGUAGAGGUGAAAUUCGUAGAUAUUCGGCGGAACACCAGUGGCGAAGGCGACUCACUGGCCCGAUACUGACGCUGAGGCGCGAAAGCGUGGGGAGCAAACAGG